RNAcentral lists this ribosomal RNA (243 nucleotides) under uncultured Actinomycetales bacterium. RNAcentral's name for it is "partial 16S ribosomal RNA". It matches the Rfam family "Bacterial small subunit ribosomal RNA", at positions 88 to 334 of the family's 1533-position model. Lineage: Bacteria; Bacillati; Actinomycetota; Actinomycetes; Actinomycetales. The record is from RNAcentral.
AUGGCGAGUGGCGAACGGGUGAGUAACACGUGGGUGAUCUGCCUUGCACUCUGGGAUAAGCUUGGGAAACUGGGUCUAAUACCGGAUAGGAACCGUCUUUAGUGUGGUGGUUGGAAAGUUUUUUCGGUGCAAGAUGAGCUCGCGGCCUAUCAGCUUGUUGGUGGGGUAAUGGCCUACCAAGGCGUCGACGGGUAGCCGGCCUGAGAGGGUGUACGGCCACAUUGGGACUGAGAUACGGCCCAG